UUUCCGUAGGUGAACCUGCGGAAGGAUCAUUAUUGUAUAACCGAGGUGCGAGGGCUGUCGCUGACCCGAAAGGUCGUGCACGCCCGAGUGCCCUCACACACAUCCAUCUCACCCCUAUGUGCACCACCGCGUGGGUCCCCCUUUGGCUUGUUCGGAGGGGGGCUUACGUUUUCACACAAACUUUGUAUGCAGUGUAGAAUGUAUUUUUUGUUUUUGCGAUCACGCAAUCAAUACAACUUUCAACAACGGAUCUCUUGGCUCUCGCAUCGAUGAAGAACGCAGC
Molecule: unclassified non-coding RNA, 283 nt
Filed under: plant metagenome
Description: partial contains small subunit ribosomal RNA, internal transcribed spacer 1, and 5.8S ribosomal RNA
Rfam family: 5.8S ribosomal RNA (bases 235-283)
Source: RNAcentral